AUACGGAGGGUGCAAGCGUUAUUCGGAAUCACUGGGCGUAAAGGACGCGUAGGCGGGUUGGCAAGUCAGAUGUGAAAUCCUACUGCUUAACUGUAGAACUGCAUUUGAAACUGCUAACCUAGAGUAUGGGAGGGGGAGAUGGAAUUAGUGGUGUAGGGGUAAAAUCCGUAGAUAUCACUAGGAAUACCGAAAGCGAAGGCGAUCUCCUGGAACAUAACUGACGCUAAGGCGUGAAAGCGUGGGGAGCAAACAGUAUUAGAAACCCUAGUAGUCC
RNAcentral lists this ribosomal RNA (274 nucleotides) under uncultured bacterium. Its description in RNAcentral is "partial 16S ribosomal RNA". It matches the Rfam family "Bacterial small subunit ribosomal RNA", at positions 523 to 796 of the family's 1533-position model. The record is from RNAcentral.